This is a long non-coding RNA of Paramisgurnus dabryanus, 932 nucleotides long. RefSeq lists it as uncharacterized. NCBI's taxonomy places the organism in Eukaryota, Metazoa, Chordata, Actinopteri, Cypriniformes, Cobitidae. The record is from RefSeq and is a predicted model, not a curated record.
UGUUACCGAUAAAAUUUGUUCUCAUGAUCAAACUCAAGAAACUCUAAGUACAGAUGAUUUGUUUAAAGUUAUAUGUAUUUUACUGUUGUAUUUACUUGAAGCUUUCUUAGAUUUUGAAACGAAGUAAACACGUAAUGUGUGUUGCUAAUGUUGGGCCAUGUAAUAUGUAAUACAUUUACGUUUUAAUGAAUAGUCUAACGAUUUAUAGUCGUUGUACUCUAUUGUUAUAAUAUGUCUUUUUGACUGAAUACAUGUUUGUUUUAUUUGUCUAUAUCUUAGAUUCGCAGCUGGACACAUCCUUCUACACUGUAUGCAAACAUGCAACAUCAUAACACACAGUACAAGGAGUCAGACUGGCAUAUGAGGAGCAAAGGAACCCAGGCAGUAGCAUCGUUUCACAAUGUUUCCAUCACCAUCAUCAGUGGAUGCCUCUGCUGUCCGUAGCCUGAGAUUUCAGAUUUGCAGCAAAAAAAAAUUGAUUUUCUCAUUUAUUGGAAUGCUGUGCAGGUUGUACCUUGCAGCCAUCCAUUACAAUGUCACCAAGCCGUAACAAAAGCAGGAGAGGGAAAGUACAAGGCUAUGUUCCCAAAACACACGAGUGACAUACCUUAUGUGGAUGAUGUGAUCAGGCUUGUGUUUGAUGAGGUAUUUGAAGAUAAGCUGAAGGAAACCCCAAUUCCAAUGGACCUGGCAUCACAGUUUGAGAGACCUUCAAAGGAGGACGUGAUUGCAUGCCAUCAUCAGUGCAUGGGUCGUCGAAAGCCAAAAUUGUGACCGAUCUGAUCAGGAAGCUCCAAGCAUAUCUGGAGAACAACACACGACAGGAUGAUAACCUUAUAGUGUCGUCUUAAAUAGCACCAGCUGACAAAGCUUUGAUAUGCCAUUUAUCUGAAUAGAUAGCUGUAAGAAAUGAAUUGAACAAUUUUUGAAAC